CUUAAAUGAGAAACGCAUCAGCAACUGGGAAGACGUGCUGCAUGUGCCAUGGGAGCUGAUGGCUGCUGAACAAACUGAAACCUGCUGUCAUCUCCAAGGGUUGCUAGAAACAUCGUAUCUCCACUACAAGCCUUGAUCUAGCCAGGUUUACCAUGGCAUGACGUCUCCAAAGGCAACAUGAUACAGGCUCUCCAGUGGACAUCGGUGAGCCCUGUCCUUGCAGUGUGGGUUCCCUGCUGGUGGCACCGGAUCAGCCGUGUGGCAGCAAUGGGGACGACCCUCCCUGGAGGCUGCCCUGGAGAGGCUGGGAGGAGCCCAGCUCACCUGGGAGCGAUUUGCAACAUGCAAAGCCACUUUAAUUUGACUCGAGAGGCCAGAAAACAGGAUGCUCUGGCCCAUCCCCAUCCCCAGCAUGCCCGCAGAAAGCUUUUGGUCCAGCUGCCGUGGCGUGACACGGAUGGGAUGACACCAUGCAAGUCAGAAGGCAAGAAACCUGAGUGCACUAACGGGCAGCGGCUGGUGCUGCAGUAAAAGGCUGAGGUUGGCAGUGGAGGCUGCAAGCGGGUCGGCUCUUACCUGACCACCUGCAAAAAUGACAGGGGUGGAGGCGGGCUUUGGGCGGUAGGGAAUGGUGGCACCUUUUGGUGGGGACUAGGAAAAGGGACAAGGAGAGGGAGAGAGAACAUUAGAACAGCUUUUUCCUGAAACAGCGGCAAAAAGAGAGUUAGAAAGCACCCGACGGAGCACGGGCCUCCGCCCCGUGCCUCCGGGGCCACGGCCAGCAACACCCGCACCAGGCAAACAGCAUUUCUGUACAGGAAGACAUGGGGGAAAUGGGCAUUUAAAUGGGAGGAGGAGGACACCCUGGGGAGUUCCCUGCCGAUGCACAGCACUCUAACACUUCCUGGACCUCUGCUGCGUCCCCUGCCUUUGCUCUGCUCUCCACAGACCGAGCCUCCUGGUCUAGGCUGAUGCCAGUCUGCGAAAAUGGUCUGAGUCCUCCUCAGAUCCCCCACCACGACCCUCAAGACGCAGGGAGAUGUGGAGGGACACGGCGUGUCACUGCAAUGCCAGGCGCACGAGGGCUGGGCUUUCUGUCUCCGGAUGCCACGAGCCUCCUCCAUGCUUUGAGUCUGAACAGGUGAGAACAUCUCAAGUUGAAGGGACCCAGGAGGGCCGUCGAGUCCAACUCCACGCGUGUAUCAGCAGCCUGACCAGCCCCACGAGACACCUGGAGCUGCUGCGUGCCACCGUGAGCAUGGCUCGUGAGCAUCCCACCCAGAUGAUGCUGUCCGACCCCUCUUGUGUUCCUUGCUUCAGGGCUUUGGUUUCUCACUGCCCUGCUGGCCGUGCAGCAGGCGCUGCAGAGCGCUGGCAUCGUGAUCAAGACCCGUGCCCCAUCGGCAUGGGCAGCAGGUGAAGCCCACACGCUGACCUCGGCACGACACGUGGAAUCUCCUAACCACGGUUCUCUCAAUGUUGGUUUACUCUUAAACACAACUAACAGUCCACAGAGGAGACCUUGGGAGAUUUCUGGGGAUCAUGAGAGAUUUCAGAUCAAAGCCUUCUGAUUCUACCACACGUGAAAUGGCUCAGUUGCUACUAAUAGGCAAGCUGCAUGAUCAAAGCACAGCGUGUAUAGCCACAGACCUGCUUUUUCUUUUACCGCACUACAAAUCUUGGAGGGGAUGAGCAAGAAUUUCUUGUGGUAAGAUAAGACAUAAACAUUACAAGGAGCGUAUCUGCAAACUGUUAAAGCUGGGGGACUUGCCAGACUUUGGACUGCAAGAAAAAAUAAUGCUUUUUUUCUUUUUCACAUUGCUGAGCCAGGUAGAGGAGCUGCAACCCUUGUUUUUGGUUGGUGAAAACAGCAGCCACCCAAGACCACACAACACACACCGAGAGCAUCACCUGAAGCCCACCUCUGCCACAAUAACCUGUAGCCACUGCAUGGCUAAACCCAUGCUCCCCUAACAGCACAGCGUGUCCGUGAGAGCUGCCCAGAGCCUGGGGGGCUCCUCCUUGGGGAGCUUCAGGAGGCGCUGGGACCUGGGGCUGGGCACCCUGCUCGGGGUGGCCCUGCUGGAGCAGGGCUGGGGCGGGUGGGCCUGGGGGUCCCUCCUCAUCUCAGCCAGUGUGGCAUUCUUUAAAACAGGCUCCUCCUUGCCACGACGGGUCUGUGAGCUGCCCAGCAAAGCUGAGGGCCCGUGCCUGUCUGCUGCUGGGAGGCACCGGGAGCGGGGCUGUCACGGUGCUGUGGCUUUGGUGGGCUCCUCCUGGACCUUCUCCAAGGCUGCAGGCGUGGAUGUGGGGCAUGUGGCUGCAGUCAGCCCCACCAGUAAGCCAUCUGUACAGCAGCAUAGCUCCACAGCAGAAAG
Anas platyrhynchos (mallard) is the source of this 2378-nucleotide non-coding RNA. The record is from RefSeq and is a predicted model, not a curated record. Lineage: Eukaryota; Metazoa; Chordata; Aves; Anseriformes; Anatidae.